CAAAGGCUUGGUCCUGACUUUACUAUCAACUUUAGCCAAACUUACACAUGCAAGUAUCCGCACCCCUGUGAGAAUGCCCUACAGUCCCCCACCCGGGAACAAGGAGCUGGUAUCAGGCACACCCCAUUAAGCCCAUGACACCUUGCUUAGCCACACCCUCAAGGGAACUCAGCAGUGAUAAACAUUAAGCCAUAAGUGAAAACUUGACUUAGUUAAAGCUAAGAGGGCCGGUAAAACUCGUGCCAGCCACCGCGGUUAUACGAGAGGCCCAAGUUGAUAGACACCGGCGUAAAGAGUGGUUAAGUUAAAACCUCGCACUAAAGCCAAACAUCUUCAAGACUGUUAUACGCAACCGAAGACAGGAAGUUCAACCACGAAAGUGGCUUUAUUUGAUCUGAACCCACGAAAGCUACGGAACAAACUAGGAUUAGAUACCC
RNAcentral lists this ribosomal RNA (437 nucleotides) under Hexagrammos stelleri (whitespotted greenling). RNAcentral describes it as "partial 12S rRNA". It matches the Rfam family "Bacterial small subunit ribosomal RNA", at positions 7 to 787 of the family's 1533-position model. The record is from RNAcentral. Lineage: Eukaryota; Metazoa; Chordata; Actinopteri; Perciformes; Hexagrammidae.